This 756-nucleotide ribosomal RNA is filed under the name Salmonella enterica subsp. enterica serovar Gaminara. RNAcentral's name for it is "bacterial LSU rRNA". It matches the Rfam family "Bacterial large subunit ribosomal RNA", at positions 593 to 1348 of the family's 2925-position model. Lineage: Bacteria; Pseudomonadati; Pseudomonadota; Gammaproteobacteria; Enterobacterales; Enterobacteriaceae. The record is from RNAcentral.
GUGACUGCGUACCUUUUGUAUAAUGGGUCAGCGACUUAUAUUCUGUAGCAAGGUUAACCGAAUAGGGGAGCCGGAGGGAAACCGAGUCUUAACCGGGCGUUAAGUUGCAGGGUAUAGACCCGAAACCCGGUGAUCUAGCCAUGGGCAGGUUGAAGGUUGGGUAACACUAACUGGAGGACCGAACCGACUAAUGUUGAAAAAUUAGCGGAUGACCUGUGGCUGGGGGUGAAAGGCCAAUCAAACCGGGAGAUAGCUGGUUCUCCCCGAAAGCUAUUUAGGUAGCGCCUCGUGAAUUCAUCUCCGGGGGUAGAGCACUGUUUCGGCUAGGGGGCCAUCCCGGCUUACCAACCCGAUGCAAACUGCGAAUACCGGAGAAUGUUAUCACGGGAGACACACGGCGGGUGCUAACGUCCGUCGUGAAGAGGGAAACAACCCAGACCGCCAGCUAAGGUCCCAAAGUCAUGGUUAAGUGGGAAACGAUGUGGGAAGGCCCAGACAGCCAGGAUGUUGGCUUAGAAGCAGCCAUCAUUUAAAGAAAGCGUAAUAGCUCACUGGUCGAGUCGGCCUGCGCGGAAGAUGUAACGGGGCUAAACCAUGCACCGAAGCUGCGGCAGCGACGCUGAUGCGUUGUUGGGUAGGGGAGCGUUCUGUAAGCCUGCGAAGGUGGCCUGUGAGGGUUGCUGGAGGUAUCAGAAGUGCGAAUGCUGACAUAAGUAACGAUAAAGCGGGUGAAAAGCCCGCUCGCCGGAAGACCAA